AAUGGAGGCAACUCUGACGCAGCCAUGCCGCGUGCAGGAGGACGGCCCUAGUGGUUGUAAACUGCUUUUCUUGACUAAGAACCAUGGGUACGAGUAUCCAUCUGACUAGUCUUGGAAUAAGCAUCGGCUAACUCCGUGCCAGCAGCCGCGGUAAUACGGAGGAUGCAAGCGUUAUCCGGAUUCACUAGGUUUAAAGGGUGUGUAGGCGGAGCAAUGAGUCAGUGGUGAAAGCUUACGGCUUAACCGUAAAAUUGCCAUUGAUACUGUUGUUCUUGAGUUCGGCUGAGGUAGGCGGAAUGAGUAAUGUAGCGGUGAAAUGCUUAGAUAUUACUCAGAACACCGAUUGCGUAGGCAGCUUACCAAACCGACACUGACGCUGAGGCACGAAAGCGUGGGGAGCGAACAGGAUUAGAUACCCUGGUAGUCCACGCCGUAAACGUUGAUUACUCGUUGUUGGCAAUACACCGUCAGCGACUGAGCGAAAGCAUUAAGUAAUCCACCUGGGGAGUACGUCAGCAAUGAUGAAACUCAAAGGAAUUGACGGGGGCCCGCACAAGCGGAGGAACAUGUGGUUUAAUUCGAUGAUACGCGAAGAACCUUACCUGGGCUUAAAUGUAGAGUGCAUGAGGUGGAAACAUCUCUUUCCUUCGGGACCCUUUACAAGGUGCUGCAUGGUUGUCGUCAGCUCGUGCCGUGAGGUGUCGGGUUAAGUCCCAUAACGAGCGCAACCCUCAUCGCCAGUUGCCAUCACAUAAUGGUGGGGACUCUGGUGAAACUGCCGGUGCAAACCGUGAGGAAGGUGAGGAUGACGUCAAAUCAGCACGGCCCUUAUGUCCAGGGCUACACACGUGUUACAAUGGCUGGUACAACGGGCAGCUACCACGCGAGUGGAUGCUAAUCCCCAAAACCAGUCUUAGUUCGGAUCGGAGUCUGCAACCCGACUCCGUGAAGCUGGAUUCGCUAGUAAUCGCACAUCAGCCAUGGUGCGGUGAAUACGUUCCCGGGCCUUGUACACACCGCCCGUCAAGCCAUGGAAGCCGGGAGUGCCUGAAGUCCGUAACCGCAAGGAGCGGCCUAGGGUAAAACCGGUAACUGGGGCU
This 1100-nucleotide ribosomal RNA is filed under the name uncultured Bacteroidota bacterium. Its description in RNAcentral is "bacterial SSU rRNA". It matches the Rfam family "Bacterial small subunit ribosomal RNA", at positions 370 to 1482 of the family's 1533-position model. The record is from RNAcentral. Lineage: Bacteria; Pseudomonadati; Bacteroidota.